AUUUUGCACAGGAUCCAUUUUGUGACUACAAGAAUCGGUAAAGCAAAUUCUCAAACUGAAAAGCAGACUUUAAAGUCUACAGGUCUGGCUUUAAAAUCCUUCUAAUCUGACCCUGAGGAGAGAAGGUCUGACUUUGAGAGAGAGGAGGGGUCCCUGCCUCUCAAAUGAGUCUCUCUGGGGAGAGUGAGGAGGGGAGCCCUGCCUCUAAAAUGAGUCUUUCUGGGGAACAUGACAUGGACACCAAAGCUAAGAGCCCAAUCCAGCAGAGACCAGCCUCACCUGUACCCAGCUGUGUGUCCAUGAAGAGUGACAGGUCUAUGGAACCACCUUUCAAGUUCAGUGAUGGAGGAGGACCUUGUAAUGAGGAAGGGUAUGUACUGACCUCUGCUGGUGUUCAAUGUUAUGU
Long non-coding RNA from Hypomesus transpacificus, 406 nucleotides. RefSeq lists it as uncharacterized. Lineage: Eukaryota; Metazoa; Chordata; Actinopteri; Osmeriformes; Osmeridae. The transcript has 3 exons. The record is from RefSeq and is a predicted model, not a curated record.